RNAcentral lists this ribosomal RNA (1227 nucleotides) under Lyrodus sp. FL G0. Its description in RNAcentral is "16S ribosomal RNA". It matches the Rfam family "Bacterial large subunit ribosomal RNA", at positions 466 to 2704 of the family's 2925-position model. The record is from RNAcentral. Lineage: Eukaryota; Metazoa; Mollusca; Bivalvia; Myida; Teredinidae.
GUAAGAUCUUUUUUUGGUGGUAUUGUGAAAAAUGAGGGUUUGAGUGAGGUCUUUGGUUAGAAAUGAAAGAGAGAUUGGAGAGAAGAACGGUUGUGUGCCGGUACUUUUUGUAUCAUGGGUCAUAGAGAGUAAGUUUAGUUUAUUAGUCCUGAAAGACUCGGAGCUAUUUUUCUUAUUGUCUAAGUUGCUUGUGGUGUUGCAGUAUCAUGAGUAAGAGGAAGAUUGGGGUGAUAUGUCUGUCGAAGAGUCUGAUAGCUGGUUAGUCGGGAAAUGCAUAUAAGUGCAGCGAGGGUCAAUGGGUUUGUUAGUCUAGGGUGCAGGGUCAUGAUUUCUUAGUGAGACUCAAAGGGUUAAUCUUUUGAGCUGGGGUUGAGUUAGAGUACUGUUAAGUAGGGUUAAGGGUGCCUUUCUUAUUUUGAAGGUUUGUUCAAAGCCGUUUGUAUGUGAUUUUUAAUUUAUACUGACGUUCUUUACUAAAGCAAUUAGUUCAAGAAUUAGUAUGACAUGCGUAAGUGUAGAAAUUUAUGAGUUUGAUUACUUUUUGAAAGUAGAAAAAGUUAGCGAUAGAAGGUUUAGUUGAGGUAGAUGAAAGAGUCUUUUGUGGGAAAAAUGAGUCCAAGGAACUCGGCAAAUAUUUUCUUCGCCUGUUUAGUAAAAACAUCGCUCUUAGUAGUUGAGAUAUUGAGAGUCGUGCCUGCCCGGUGGAUAAUAAUUUCUAAACGGUUGCUGUUGAUAGCAGUACGAAGGUAGCGCAAUCACUAGUCCUUUAAUUGGGGAACGGAAUGAAUGGUGUGACGUGGAGAGUCUGUCUCGGAUUUAGAAGUUGAAAUUUAUUUUUACGUGAAAAGGCGUGGAUAAAAAUAUUAGACGAGAAGACCCCAUCGAGCUUGAUGAGGCUCAUUUUUGAGGAAGUGGGUUAAAGUUUAGUUGGGGUGACUGGGUGCAAAUUUAACGUAUCUGAGGUUUUAUUGAUAUGGACCCUUUAUUAAGGAUAUAGAGAAAAAGCUACCGUGGGGAUAACAGCGUAAUGUUCUUGGAGAGAUCUUAUUGAAGAGAGAUGUUGCGACCUCGAUGUUGAAUUAGAGUGUUAUCUUGGCGCAGUCGUUAGGAUUGUGGGACUGUUCGUCCUUUAAAAUUCUACAUGAUUUGAGUUUAGACCGGCGUGAGCUAGGUCGGAUUCUAUCUUUAUUUUGGACCUCUUUUGUACGAAAGGAUCGAGAGGUUGAC